Lates calcarifer (barramundi perch) is the source of this 4809-nucleotide long non-coding RNA. RefSeq lists it as uncharacterized. The transcript is spliced from 2 exons. Lineage: Eukaryota; Metazoa; Chordata; Actinopteri; Centropomidae. The record is from RefSeq and is a predicted model, not a curated record.
CAGCUGGGAACACUCUCAUCUGCGGGCACAUCUAUUUUCUGAGUCUGGCAUCAACAGGUCGCACACUCUGCAAAGGUUUUCCUCCUCCGUCGGCACAGGAGAGCAGUUACAGCAUGAACACCUCCAAUUUCCAAAGGCCUGUUUUGCUGCCUUUGAGAAAAGGCAGCGCAGCGAAUGUAAAGCUGUGUGAUAACAGGGCCAUUCGCCACAGUACUGAGUUUGACCCUGCAACCAGCCUCCAUGACGGAUGUGAGAUGAUUCCUAGCCCUCAAGCUCAGCAAGACACACUCAGCACAACUGAAAUACACCCUCUCAAUCUCUCUCCCACUUCCCUGUUUUAUUCUCCAUCUCUCUCUCUCUGUCUCUCUGUCAGUCUCUGUUACUCUACAGAUUGACUGCAUGCUGUACGUUGUCUAUUUAAAGCUGGUGCCAUAACCACCCACUGCCGCUUUAAAAAGUGGUGACUCACCUAAACAUAUCAGCCCAGUAGACUCUGUGUGUGUGUGUGUGAGUAUGAGGGGAUGUUAUAUCAUCUCAGCUUUAGUUCUACUUUUCUCUGGCCUUCUCUGUUUGGUGACAAGUGCAGCUGUUUUCUAACGAUAGCACUCGUCUGUGCGUCAAACUGGUAUCUGCAGGAUCCACAGAUUUAUGCAAAAACACACAUACACACUCUCUCUCUCUCUCAAACACAUACACUCUCAAACACAAUCUGUGCACUUAGUGUUACUGAGUUAUGUGCUAUUCUGGGUGCAUCCAGGGGACUUCCAGCUUAUGGGAAAAGCAAAUGAGCAAAUUUGCAUUUUCUCUAAUUUGCCCAGUAAUGGGAUAUAUGUAAGGGACUAUAUAAGUGCAAAAUGAAGUGUGGAUGAAGGUUGUGUGUCUGGGAAGACUAGGUAUGGCUGCCAAUUAGAGACAAAAAGGGCAAUACAUAUGACGUGUUCUGUAUCUGUGGCAAGAGCUUCCAGGCAGCCAGGCUGAGCAGUUUUCACUGCCACGGUUUUGAGUCUCCCCCUCACUUCUCUGCAUUAUUAAAUAUUCCCUAAAUAAUUCACUGCCUUCUGUAUCAAACAAAUAUUUUUACAACUUUCACCUACAAAUAGGUGAAGGGAGAACUACUGUACCGUAUUUAGUCCUAUGGAAGAUGAAAUUCUGGUUAAGUGUUUGUGUUUGUUUCUAAUCUGAAUUCUGUGUCUAGCUGGAGGCAGCAGUGUGAACAACACUGCAAGUGGGCUGCUCUUUGCUGCUGAAUGCCAUGAGUCAUGUCCUGAUGUAGAACUUUCACUGUCUCCUUGUCUCCUGUGACAUAAAAUAUAAUAUCAUUCAGCUGGCAGUGCUAUAUGCUUCUUUAAUGUUGACUCCAGUGAGCCCCACUGAGUUACAUGGCAGCCCAUGUGCCUAUAUAUUUAUACUAUAUGAUUUCUCAUUAUGAUACUUUUAUGUGUUGUCUCUAUUUCAUAUUGCAUUUGUAUGUAAUGACCAGGUAAUACAUACAGUGUAUUACUCUGCUCAUAUGUGGUCUUAUGGGAGGUUUGGAUUACUUUGCUGUGUUCUUUGCUUCACAGUUAUUUCAUAGUUAAAACAGACUUCGCUGAUGUGAUAAAUGAUCUCAUAACCACAACUUAAAAUGACAAAGUGUGUUGCUACAGUAUGUUACUAUGCAAACAUUGUGUGGCGAAACUUUUCAGAUGCUGCCUGAGCGAUGAUAGGCAGCGUCUAAAUCCCAGUGAUGACGCCGCGAUGUCAUGGCGGCGAGGACUGACUCGUGUGCUGACUUGUUAGUCAUGCUUUGAUGCACAGUUUAAAAAGGACUCCAGGAAGCCUGGCACAUGCGCAUGCGCUCCACAGACACACACACACACACUUGCAGACACACAUGCUGUUUUGCACAUUUGCACAAAGGACACACAGCCGCUGAGUGCUUAAAAGGAAAGCAGCUGCAUCAUUUGGUAGUCUGACAUGAAUCCUUGGUUGUGUGUUUCUAUGACGUGACUUCAGAACACAGUUACAGAAUUCAAACACACUGUCAACAUUAACACAGCAAUAAAUACACAUCACCACAGAAUAAUCAGGACAUGCUUCAUAAAAAUCUCAAAAGAUAAAAGAUCUAAAAGAUCUCCUGGCUUUGAGAUAAAUAGCAUGUGUUAUAUUUUAUCAUAUCAUAGUCUACUGUUUUAUUCAUGACUCUGCUUUUAAAAUGUAAGCUAAAACAUGACAGGUGACACAAUUAUUGGUUUGCACUUAAAAAGCUUAUGGAAAUUCCUCAUGUUUUAAGUUAAAACUCAAAACCUAUUUUACAUAAAUUAGCAAAAAAGAUUAAAAAAUAAAAUAAAAAUCACUCAUCCAAAUUAUGAUUUAAAUAUUAGGCCUCUAGUCUCUUUGGAACUUUUGUGAAGCCUGAACCAUCAUAAUGUUCCCUAUAUGGCUAUAUGGCUGCACACAAAGUCAAAAACUAGUUAAAACACAUAUAUGAAACUUUUUCAGUACAUGUAGCAUAAAAGUUUUAGUCCAGGGCAGGGGUAGGGGAGAAGUGACUUGGAAAAAAGAGAAUAUAUUUUAGUUAUAGCUAUAUUUAAUAGUAUAAUAAAUAUUGCUUUGUUGAAAAUAUUUUUACAUCUGAAAAUUAGAAAAAAGAAGUCCAUCAUCUAUGUAAUAAUGUCCACUUAUAUUAAACUAGCUGUGAGCUAUGAAAUUAAAUUGACAACAUACACUGUAAAAAGAAAGUUAUGUAUUACCAAAAUAGAUAUUAUUAUUAUUUACUCUACUGUUGCUCAUUACUUCUAGUGGGAAAAAUGCACUUAUUGUAAUGGUUAGACAGUCUGAAAAUAAUUAUAAUUUCUUCUGACCAGCUUUUCUCUGUAAUGCUGCACCUCUGUUCAAAUAUAACAUGUUUAGUAAUGCAGAUAGUUUUUGGAAAAAUAAGUUUUUAAGAAAUGUAAAAAUUGAUAAGACCAUAAAUAACCAACAAAUAAUCAGAGGCAGUGGUACAGUUCAUUAAAUAGAUUGUCAUGUUAUUUUGAUAUGGGUGCAAUACCAGGAAGCAUACUGCUAAAAAUAAAACGGACACAUUUUUUUCUUAAAUACCCCCCAAAACAUGUAAGUCAUACAUUCAUUUAGAUGUUUUUGGGGGGUUAAUGUAUAUUUUUACAUUGUAUUUUAUUUUGCUUUUAUGUCUUUUUUUUUUUAAAAUAUAAUGUAAAUCAUGCCCUUAAUGGGAAAUGCUAUUUUUUUCAUUGGAAAUUACAACAUUCAUGUAUGCAAAACAAUGCAUGAAAGAUCGUUAAUUAAGACCUUUAAUUAUGUUUGAUAUAUUUUUAAAUAAAUAGACAUUAAGUGAAACUAACUUAUCAUUACAGCUGUUUUUCAGGCCAGUGUGUAUGCGAACCAUACUGGCCUGAUGCCAAAUAUUUGGAAGCAGAGCUCUACACGGUCCAUUUAUUAGAAAGGUGCUGGCUCAUUAUUUAGCAAGACUCCAGCAAAUGCUCCGCAGCUGCAGCCGCUCUCUCUUCGCAUGCAAUAAAGUUUGCUGCCUCAUGUGGGGGAUCUCUCCCUCUUUUUGAAGCAGACUUUUUUGGUCCAUAAUUUAUACAUUUACCUUACUUGCUUCUGCGUGCGUUAGCCUCCUGCAUUUUUUAAAGGCCGGGUAUUGAGGGAUUUUCUGUCAUGCUCUCUUGCUUUGUUCUGAUCACGCAAGCUGCUGCCAUCCCACAUACAGGAACACUGGUGAAAAACAGAGGCCUAAGUCAUGUCACCUAGCUGGAACAGAAGCACACAUGUGCAUAAAUACACAGGCACGGUGUCAUACUAAACAAACAGCCAACACGCACAGAGAGAGGAAGGCCCACUCCCUUCAGCUAAGACUCUGGGAGAAACUGUCGUGCCAUCGCAUGAGUGUUUUUCACAGAAGCACACACCGGACUGAGCCAUCCAUGUGUGUCUCAGCAAGCAAAGGGGUGUUGAGUCUUCCUCUCACACCCAUGCAUGCAGAAGCAGUCCACAUCCUCUGCUCCCUGAGGAGGACACAUGGCAGACAAAAAUAGAGAAAGAGGGAGAGCCCGAGAUGAACAGAUUAAGGAAAGAGGGAGAUAGUUCCUGGAUAAAGUUCUACCAUUGAAUUAUUCUCUCUUUCUACAGUACCUCACACUAAAAAUAGAAGAAAAAAAAUGUAAACAAACAUAACAUUUGUUAUCAUUUCAGCCACUACACUUUAUGAAUUCCUGUAAAGUGGUACAUAAAUUUACCCAUUUCCUCUUACGUAUGCGUUUUACUAUGUGGGAUUUUUGUGGUGAAUAUAUUAGCGAAUGACAGGAGAUUAUUUAAUGGUUAAGUCAUAGAAGGUUAUGUGGUUCAACCCAACUGAUGUUAAUCUGAUUAUUAACAGACAGACUGUAAGCAGCUAACUGUAUGCCACUGCAACAGGUUCGGCACACAAUUAGAAAAAUCUAAAAUUACUACACAUCUUAAUUUUUGAGUUUUUUUCAAGCUUAUAUUAUAAUGCAUUGUCUGACAUUUCUAUAUACGCAGUGCAUUUUUUUCCAUUUUGUUUUAUUUAUUAAGUAAUGUUAAACUGCAUAAAUCUUCACCAAAUAAAAUUAAAUGAAAUGUUUUAUUAUAAUGUAUUACAUUACUCUCAGUGUGCUUUGGUAUACAAAACUGUCUUCACAGUUUGUUUGUAAAACUUUCUUGAUAUUCAACUGCAGUUGAAUAUCAAAAUAACCCAGCUGAUGUGAUAUGCAGUCAUUUCAUCUUCUGUACUGUGUUACAGUCAUUAUCACACCAUGCACAAAAAUAAAUGAGAGAUAAAUGACUUUA